RNAcentral lists this ribosomal RNA (187 nucleotides) under uncultured bacterium. Its description in RNAcentral is "partial 16S ribosomal RNA". It matches the Rfam family "Bacterial small subunit ribosomal RNA", at positions 1314 to 1500 of the family's 1533-position model. The record is from RNAcentral.
GACUACAUGAAGCUGGAAUCGCUAGUAAUCGCAAAUCAGAAUGUUGCGGUGAAUACGUUCCCGGGUCUUGUACACACCGCCCGUCACACCAUGGGAGUUGGGAGUGCCCAAAGCCGGUGAGGCAACCGAAAGGAGCCAGCCGUCUAAGGCAAGACCAAUGACUGGGGUGAAGUCGUAACAAGGUAAC